RNAcentral lists this ribosomal RNA (253 nucleotides) under uncultured bacterium. Its description in RNAcentral is "partial 16S ribosomal RNA". It matches the Rfam family "Bacterial small subunit ribosomal RNA", at positions 524 to 776 of the family's 1533-position model. The record is from RNAcentral.
UACGGAGGUCUCAAGCGUUGUUCGGAUUCAUUGGGCGUAAAGGGUGCGUAGGCGGCGCGGUAAGUCGGGUGUGAAAUUUCGAGGCUUAACUUCGAAACUGCAUUCGAUACUGCCGUGCUUGAGGACUGGAGAGGAGACUGGAAUUUACGGUGUAGCGGUGAAAUGCGUAGAUAUCGUAAGGAAGACCAGUGGCGAAGGCGGGUCUCUGGACAGUUCCUGACGCUGAGGCACGAAGGCCAGGGGAGCAAACGGG